Molecule: small nuclear RNA, 18 nt
Filed under: Arabidopsis thaliana (thale cress)
Lineage: Eukaryota; Viridiplantae; Streptophyta; Magnoliopsida; Brassicales; Brassicaceae
Description: snRNA_07458
Source: RNAcentral
ACCUGCAUGAGCCAAGCC